GACGAACGCUGGCGGCGUGCUUAACACAUGCAAGUCGAACGGAAAGGCCCUGCUUUUGUGGGGUGCUCGAGUGGCGAACGGGUGAGUAACACGUGAGUAACCUGCCCUUGACUUUGGGAUAACUUCAGGAAACUGGGGCCAAUACCGGAUAGGAGCUCCUGCUGCAUGGUGGGGGUUGGAAAGUUUCGGCGGUUGGGGAUGGACUCGCGGCUUAUCAGCUUGUUGGUGGGGUAGUGGCUUACCAAGGCUUUGACGGGUAGCCGGCCUGAGAGGGUGACCGGCCACAUUGGGACUGAGAUACGGCCCAGACUCCUACGGGAGGCAGCAGUGGGGAAUAUUGCACAAUGGGCGGAAGCCUGAUGCAGCAACGCCGCGUGCGGGAUGACGGCCUUCGGGUUGUAAACCGCUUUCGCCUGUGACGAAGCGUGAGUGACGGUAAUGGGUAAAGAAGCACCGGCUAACUACGUGCCAGCAGCCGCGGUGAUACGUAGGGUGCGAGCGUUGUCCGGAUUUAUUGGGCGUAAAGGGCUCGUAGGUGGUUGAUCGCGUCGGAAGUGUAAUCUUGGGGCUUAACCCUGAGCGUGCUUUCGAUACGGGUUGACUUGAGGAAGGUAGGGGGAGAAUGGAAUUCCUGGUGGAGCGGUGGAAUGCGCAGAUAUCAGGAGGAACACCAGUGGCGAAGGCGGUUCUCUGGGCCUUUCCUGACGCUGAGGAGCGAAAGCGUGGGGAGCGAACAGGCUUAGAUACCCUGGUAGUCCACGCUGUAAACGGUGGGUACUAGGUGUGGGGUCCAUUCCACGGGUUCCGUGCCGUAGCUAACGCUUUAAGUACCCCGCCUGGGGAGUACGGCCGCAAGGCUAAAACUCAAAGGAAUUGACGGGGCCCCGCACAAGCGGCGGAGCAUGCGGAUUAAUUCGAUGCAACGCGUAGAACCUUACCUGGGUUUGACAUGGAUCGGGAGUGCUCAGAGAUGGGUGUGCCUCUUUUGGGGUCGGUUCACAGGUGGUGCAUGGCUGUCGUCAGCUCGUGUCGUGAGAUGUUGGGUUAAGUCCCGCAACGAGCGCAACCCUUGUUCACUGUUGCCAGCACGUUAUGGUGGGGACUCAGUGGAGACCGCCGGGGUCAACUCGGAGGAAGGUGGGGAUGACGUCAAGUCAUCAUGCCCCUUAUGUCCAGGGCUUCACGCAUGCUACAAUGGCUGGUACAGAGAGUGGCGAGCCUGUGAGGGUGAGCGAAUCUCGGAAAGCCGGUCUCAGUUCGGAUUGGGGUCUGCAACUCGACCUCAUGAAGUCGGAGUCGCUAGUAAUCGCAGAUCAGCAACGCUGCGGUGAAUACGUUCCCGGGGCU
RNAcentral lists this ribosomal RNA (1347 nucleotides) under uncultured bacterium. RNAcentral describes it as "partial 16S ribosomal RNA". It matches the Rfam family "Bacterial small subunit ribosomal RNA", at positions 28 to 1381 of the family's 1533-position model. The record is from RNAcentral.